Non-coding RNA from Paramuricea clavata, 207 nucleotides. Lineage: Eukaryota; Metazoa; Cnidaria; Anthozoa; Malacalcyonacea; Plexauridae. The record is from the annotation of a GenBank genome assembly.
GAUCUUGCAGGAUCUUGCAAGAUCUUGCCAUUAUCAUGGCAAGAUCUUGUCAUGAUCAUGGCAAGAUCUUACAAGAUGUUUGGCAAGAUCUUGCAGGAUCUUGCAAGAUCCUGCAAGAUCUUUCCAUGAUCUUGCAGGAUUUAUGUAAGAUCUUGGCAUGAUCUUGGUAAGAUCUUGUCAAGAUCUUGCUGGGAUCUUGGCAAGAUU